CUCUCUCGAACUCUCGGAUGAGUUAGGAGUGGGUUUUUAGUUUCUCAGCCUAGGAAGGUUUGUGUUUUCCUUUUCACCUCUCAUUACAUUGCCUUGUGGUCAGAGAACUUGGUCUAUGUGAGUCUUUGGAAUUCAAUACGACUUCCUCUGUGGCUUUGCACAUGGUCAUUUUCUGUGCCUCUGAGCUAGGUUUAUAGGAAAGGCAGGGUUUAGCGAAGGAUGGAAAGCACAGGCUCUCACUCUGUGGGAAAUGGAGGUGACCCAUCCUGAAGGAAUUUUCGAAGUUCCGGGCUCAUCUGCAGUCUUGGAUGUCUUCAGGGCAGAAGCCUCCAGUUUCAGAGUCCAGCCAAGACUCCUAAAAUUCUCAACAUGUGUUCCUCAUCUGAUCAGGACUUAAGCCUUUCAAACUUCCUGGAAGAGGAUUUCUGAAAAUGGCAGAUGCAGGUGGCCUGGCAGAGUUCACAGCAGCUGGAUGGUGGUAGCUGAGGCUUGUUCACACUGAAGCCAUGGAUCAGGAAACAAGAGUAAUCUUGAACUAAAAGCUGGCAUAAUGUUUAAGGCCUUGCUUGCUGACUUACCUUUGCCAGCUCCCAAAGUAUUGCCACCAGCCAUGGACCAAGUGUUCAAACACAGGCGCCUGUGGGGUACCACAACGUUACAAGAUUCAAAUAGAGAAACACAUACAUCAAUAAGAGUUUAUGGCUAAAAUAUGUAUCGUUUAUUUGUUCAACAGUUGAGUUUCUUUUGUGGUUCACGUCAUGUCCUUGGCACUGAGAAUAAAGAUAAAUCCUGGCCCUCAGGGAGCUCACAGUCUAGUGGGGUAAACACACAAAAAUAAAUAUAAUGCAAUGUAACUAGGGUACACAAAGGGACUACUAAAAAGACAGAGAACAGAGGAAUCUAAAUCCUUUGUGAAUGUCUGUAGGUGAGAAAAGACCCAUCUAGUGGACAUUUUCAUAAGAGACAAGGCAAUGGCUCACAAAAGCUCACUAAAUUACCCAUAUCAGAAUUACCUAGAAUACAUACAUACUAAAAUGUAGGUUCUCAGGGCUUUCUGCAUUCAGCCAGCGUAGGGACCCAGGAACUGCAUCUUAAAGUGCUCUUAAGUGAUUCUACUGCAUCUCAAGUUGAGAACCAGUGAGAUAAAAUUUUUUGUAAUCUCUGCAUUUGAAAUGUUGACUUAACUUUCUUCCUGUCUGGCGGUGGGAACCAAACGCAAGGCCUGAUGCAUGCUAGGAACAUAGUUCCACCACUGAGCUAUUCCUAGCCCCUGUGUUGGUCUUUAAUGAAGAAGUAAAGAAAAAGAAGAGAUCCAGCAUGCACUGAAUUCUAUUGUAGUGUAUAUAGAAGCUUACUGAAGUUUCAAAAUAAUCCAACGAGGUAGAUAUCAUCCCCAUGUUCAGAAGAAAGGUAAGAAUUAGAGUUUAAGUAAUUUAUCAUUAACAAGCUAAGAAAAGUAACGCUGCUAUAAGAACCAAAUUCAAUGAGCUCCAAAGUCCACCUGAGAAAUAGCAUGCUGGAAUCAGGGAACACAUUUACAGACUAACUGCUAUGGUUUUCAUUUAUUUGCUAGAUCUCUUUGGUAAAAUAAAUAUUAACAACAGUCAGAUGGCACCUUAUCCGACUGUAUCUGAUAUAAUUACCCAUGGAUACACCAUCCUUCUUUGGCACGAUGGAGCUGAGGUUAAAGCUGGGAGGAGUAUGACAUGAACAGCUAGUUUUGCUUUUUUCAUCAUCAUCAUCAUUUUUUUUUUAAUCUGCUAGUAGUGGUGUCAUGAAGAUGUUCUAUGACUAAGAACUGGGUCUAUCUGGAGAGAAAAACAAACAAAGCUGGAUACCCACAAGAGCAGCCCCACCCAAGGCUGAGUCUCGAGACUUAUAUCACCCAGAAGCGUGGAAGGCAUUUAAGGAAAACUGCAGAGUUGACAGCACUCAAGUUCUUAAAAUGCAGACCAUUGGAACCAUGGUGGGUCUAGAAGCUGCAUCAGAAAACACUCAACCUUUAGAGAAACUGAAAGCACAGCACAGCGUCUCCAGGUUAAAGAAACACUAUGUUUCUCCACCCAGAAAAUAUUGGGAUGGUCAACCCUACUGUCUUAGCUACUAUUCUACUGUUGUGAAGAGACACCAUGACAAGGCAAAUUUCAUAAAAGAAAGCAUUUAACUGGGGCUGGCUUACAGUUUCAGAGGCUCAGUCCAUUGCCAUCACUGCAGAGAGCAUGGCAGCAGGCAGGAGUGAUACUGCAGAAGUAGCCGAGAGCUACAUCCUGACCUGCAUGCACAGGCUUUUAAAACCUCAAAGCCCCUCCCCCACUGCCUCCAAGGCCACACCCCUUAAUCUUUCUAAUCCUUUCAAAUGGUUCUGCUCCUUGGUGACUAAGCCUGCAAAUAUAUGAGCCUAUGGGAGCCAUUCUUAUUCAAACCACCAUACCUACUUAAAAAGCUUUGAGAAGCCCACUCUAAAAAUAUCUGUAAUGAAGAAAAUAUAUAUAGACAUAAACUGAAAAUACUACUUAACUUUCUAUUCACCAUGCUUGGUGGCAUCUAACAUCAGACUGGAGUGGCAGAUUAAGGUGGAGCACAUUAGAUGAGAGGUGUGGGACAGGGACUGGCAAUAACACUGGGAGACACCUGAGGCUUUGAGUUCAUAAGGCUGGUGUGGACCCACCAUUCUUUUUCACCAAUGAACCUGGAGCUAGAGUGAUACAUGUCCUUCUGGUGGAGAAUAACUUGCUUAUUUGUGACAUUUCAAGAAAUCACUGAGCCCCAAGAAGAGUUCUGAUAAAAUUAACCCACAGCUCUGAUGCCACCAACGGCGCACAGCUGAGUUUCCACUAUUUUGUGUAGCAAAGACUGAAAACCAGACUUUACAGCUACAUUCCCCACACUCAGUCUAGAAACAUUUGCUUCUACCCACAUUUUCAUUUUAAAAUCAUGCAAAUCUGGGAUGAUCUUAUAAAAAGAUUUUAUUUACACUGAAUUGAUUCGUUAGCUUCUCACAGGCAGAGUUGAGGGAGCAGGGCCAAAAGCGAUGGUUUAACAGUGUGCAGGCAAUGUAUUUGUUUAUUAUUUCAGGUACUUGUACCUGCAAUCGCUUAGUUGCACUGAAGGCAACUCUGGAGGGGCAUCUAGAAGUCUUUACUUUGAGGAGAAUAGCAAGUUGUGUUGAAUCUGGCCAGGAUUCUUGGGCUGUUCACUGGUGCAGGGAAAGAAUACACAAAGCCAACAUCUCUAAGACCCUCAAGAUUAUUGCUACAGGUUUAGGAAGACAGAACUGGGAG
Non-coding RNA from Myodes glareolus (Bank vole), 3281 nucleotides. NCBI's taxonomy places the organism in Eukaryota, Metazoa, Chordata, Mammalia, Rodentia, Cricetidae. The record is from RefSeq and is a predicted model, not a curated record.